AUGCCCAAUGUAGGGAAUAGGGUGUCACUUCUUAUGUAAAGACUGGGUCUGGAUGUGUCUCAAAACACACCCUAUUCCCUAUGCGAGAUCUGGUUUAAAGUAGUGCACUUUGUAGGGAAUAAGGUGGAGGGUGACACUUCUCUUCUUCAUGUUAGAACCUGAUUAACGUAGCCGAUUGCCUUUCUACCAUCAUAGGUGGUGUACUGGCAUUUGAUAGGUUUUUUAAAAUUGUAUUUUUCAUUGUAGUUGUUAGGUUUUGCCACAAGAGGGUGCUGCUGAUACAUGCUGCAUUAUAUACAAAGCUUUCAGUAUUUAGAGUACACCGCAGGGCUGUUGAUAAAGUGGGCACGACCCAUUUACACUGUUCCCUUUAUAGUACACUGCUCGGCUAAACUCAGACCUACUGCACCAUAGGGAAUACACUGUUUGUGACUAGCAACGGACCAGCGAGAGAUCUGCGUGCGUCCACACUUCGAGCCUCAUAUUUUUAUUUUCUUGCAACUUCAAUGAAGUUAAUUAUUCAACUGGUCAUUUAUUAAACACUUAAUUUAGCAUUUGACCAGAGUGGUCUGACGUUAUUAUUCUUAACCUGGCCUAUUCUCUCUACGACUGACACAAUGUUAAUAGUGCUACCAUCAACCAAAACUCAUGUUUAUGUGUGCAAGUGAUAAUAUGGUAUGUAGUAUUGAAUGAAAUGCUGGACUAUGAUUUCUAGAUACAGAUGAAAUGUAUGUCUGUUUUGUUUGGUGAUGGGGGGGGGGGCGGGGAGUACGUUUUGAAUUGCAUUUGGUGGAUAUAUAUAACGUGCAACAUUGUACUUAUUUCACGUGUUUAUUGAAUAAAUGCUUGAAGAUGAA
Non-coding RNA from Oncorhynchus mykiss (rainbow trout), 857 nucleotides. NCBI's taxonomy places the organism in Eukaryota, Metazoa, Chordata, Actinopteri, Salmoniformes, Salmonidae. The record is from RefSeq and is a predicted model, not a curated record.